This 1404-nucleotide ribosomal RNA is filed under the name uncultured Bordetella sp. Its description in RNAcentral is "partial 16S-23S ribosomal RNA intergenic spacer". It matches the Rfam family "Bacterial small subunit ribosomal RNA". The record is from RNAcentral. Lineage: Bacteria; Pseudomonadati; Pseudomonadota; Betaproteobacteria; Burkholderiales; Alcaligenaceae.
GGUUUGAUUGGGCUCAGAUUGGAACGCUGGCGGGAUGUUUACACAUGCAAGUCGAACGGCAGCACGGACUUCGGUCUGGCGGGCAGAGUGGCGAACGGGUGAGUAAUGUAUCGGAACGCCUAGUAGCGGGGAUAACUACGCGAAAGCGCGAAUACCGCAUACGCCCUUCGGGGGAAAGCGGGGACCUUCGGGCCUCGCACUAUUAGAGCGGCCGAUAUCGGAUUAGCUUGUUGGUAACGGCCUUCGGUGGCGACGGAUCCCUUCAGGAACGAAAUUGAGAGGACGCUGAUCCUGCUUAUUCACCGACGAUGAUACGGUCCUGUGACUCUACGCGGCGCAAAUUUUUGGGAUUAAAUGGGGAAACCCUGAUCCAGCCAUCCCGCGUGUGCGAUGAAGGCCUCGCUGUGUGUUAAUCUUGGCAGGAAGAAAAACCUGCACGAUACCCUGUGCAACCGACGGUACUCCGGAGAAUAAGCACCGGCUAACUGACGUGCCAGCAGCCGCGGUAAUACGUAGGGCAAGCGUGUUAAUCGGAAUUACCGGGCGUGAAGCGUGCGCAGGCGGUUCGGAAAGAAAGAUGUGGAAAAUCCAGAGCUAACUUGAACCGCAUUUUUUAACUGGCCGAGCUAGAGUGUGUCAGAGGGAGGUGGAAUUCCGCGUGUAGCAGAAUGCGUAGAUAUGCGGAGGAACACCGAUGGCGAAGGCAGCCUCCCUGGGAUAACACUGACGCUCAUGCAUCGCAGCGUGGGAGCAAACAGAUUGACGAUGAAUGCCCUGGUAGUCCACGCCUCAAACGAUGUCAACUACGUUGGGGCCUUCGGCCUUGGUAGCGCAGAAUAUUUAUGCGUAGUUGACCGCCUGGGGAGUACGGUCGCGGUAAGAUUAAAACUCAAAGGAAUUGACGGGGACCCGCACAAGCGGUGGAUGAUGUAAGGGAUUAAUUCGAUGCAACGCGAAAAACCUUACCUACCCUGAUAUGUCUGAAUCCCGAAAGAUCGGGAGUGCUCGCAAGAGAACCGGAACACAGGUGCUGCAUGGCUGUCGUCAGCUCGUGUCGAGAUGUUGGGUUAAGUCCUGCAACGAGCGCAACCCUUGUCAUUAGUUGCUUACUUUGAGCGGCACUCUAAUGAGACUGCCGGUGACAAACCGGAGGAAGAAGGUGAUGACGUCAAGUCCUCAUGGCCCUUGCGGGUAGGGCUUCACACGUCAUACAAUGGUCGGGACAGAGGGUCGCCAACUCAUGAGGGGGAGCCAAUCCCAGAAACCCGAUCGUAGUCCGGAUCGCAGUCUGCAACCUUCUGACUGCGUGAAGUCGGAAUCGCUAGUACUCUGGCGGAUCAGCAUGUCGCGGUGAAUACGUUCCCGGGUCUUGUACACACCGCCCGUCACACCGUGGGAGUGGGU